AUGAAGCAAAUUAGGCACUACAUAAUAACAAACUGCGAGGAAUCCAACUCAUGGACCGAUGAGCAUCUGGAUGAGCUUACAAGGGCUGGUGCUCACGGUGUCCAGAAACGGCACAGAGACGAGUUUGUAGAUUGGUUCGAGAGGCGUAUCCAGGCACUUCACAAAGAAGGGAAAGUCAAUGAUCUUUUGUAUGCCCUAUCUAGAGGACCUGACCCUCGAGCUCGUGUUUAUAACCGCACCUUCAUCAAUGGGUUUUUCUUUAGAAAUGAUAGUGUAGAAAGAGAUUUGAAUACCCAAAACAGCGGUGUUGUUGUUAGGGGUGAUGCUCGAUCUGGCAACCUUGAUUGGUUUGGUGUGAUCAAGAAAAUUAUUUGUGUAGAUUUUCCCUCGGAAAAGGAGGUAGUGCUAUUUCAAUGUGACUGGUUUGACGUGCCCUCUGCCAAUAAAAAUCAAAGCACGGGCUACAAGAAGGAUGAUUAUGGCUAUAUCGAUGUAGAUACUACCCGACUUCGAUAUAGGGAUGAUCCCUACAUACUAGGCAUUCAAGCAGAACAAGUGUUCUAUGUGAGAGAUGUCAAGAAGAUAAAUUGGGUUUCUAUUGUUAGAUUGAAGCCGCGAGACCUAUAUGCCAUGCCAUCCGUAGGAAAUGAUGACGAUGGAACCGGAGCUGAUGCUGACUUACUUGAUAUUGUAGUUGGAGAUACAAAUGUGCCAGACAUAGACGGGGAUGUCGAAAGUUGGUCUAGAUCUGGCAUGGAAGGUGCCAGUGGUGAUGCUUCAGAUAUUCCGAAGAUACCCGAAGUUGAUCCCGGAUAUGAUGAGCUUCAAUCUGAUAGUGAUAGCUGUGAUGAUGAGACAUAUAUAAAUGAUGGCCAUGUUCCUCAUUUAGUACUCGACGAAUCUGAUGAUGAUGAGUUUUUUGUGUAG
This 927-nucleotide ribosomal RNA is filed under the name Triticum aestivum (bread wheat). Its description in RNAcentral is "partial small subunit ribosomal RNA". Lineage: Eukaryota; Viridiplantae; Streptophyta; Magnoliopsida; Poales; Poaceae. The record is from RNAcentral.